AAUGAACCAGCACGCCGCCCACAUUUCUUCUCAGUCAGCAGAUAAAGCAGACAAACAAUCCUCCGACGAGAGCUUCUCGGACGAAACCUGUUUGGUCUCUUUCUAUCUCCGUCUCUCUCUCUCUUUCACAGCGUUCUCGGAGGAUCAGCCCAAUGAAAUACCGAGAAGAUUACCGACACCAUCUCUGUCGCCUCUCUCUCCUCGUCCUCUCCCUCCUCUCCCUCUCUUCUUCUUCCGCCUCGUCGGACGUCUCCGACGUCUUCGAAUCCUGGUGCCGGCACCAUGCCAAGAGCUACUCCUCCGACCAGGAGAGGCUCCAUCGCUUCAGGGUCUUCCAGGACAACUACGAAUACAUCGUCCAGCACAACGCGGCCGGGAAUUCCUCCUGCUCCCUCGGCCUCAACGCCUUCGCCGAUCUGACCCACCACGAGUUCCGAUCCUACUACCUUGGUCUGUCCGGGAGUUCUGAUCUCGGGCGGCGCGGGGUUGGGGUGGGACGGGACGGUGCCGUCAUCGGCGAGGUUCCGGCUUCGGUUGAUUGGAGGAAGAAGGGGGCAGUGACGGGCGUGAAGGAUCAAGGAAGUUGUGGUGCUUGUUGGGCGUUCUCAGCUACCGGUGCAAUCGAAGGCAUCAACAAGAUUGUCACAGGAUCUCUCGUCAGCCUCUCAGAACAAGAGCUAAUCGACUGUGACAGAACCUUCAAUGCAGGUUGUGGUGGUGGGCUCAUGGAUUAUGCAUAUAAGUUCGUGAUGGACAAUGGCGGGAUUGACACAGAAAAAGACUAUCCUUUCGUAGCUCGGGAAAAGACCUGCAAUAAGGAAAAGUUGAGGAGACAUGUUGUGACAAUCGAUGGAUAUGUAGAUGUGCCAGCAAAUGAUGAGAAGCGGCUGCUAGGGGCUGUGGCCUCUCAGCCUGUGAGUGUUGGUAUUUCUGGUGGUGAGAGAGCAUUUCAGUUGUACUCCGAGGGGAUCUUCACUGGCCCCUGUUCAACUGACUUAGAUCAUGCCGUGCUGAUCGUGGGUUACGGGUCGAAGGAUGGCGUGGACUACUGGAUUGUGAAGAAUUCUUGGGGCCCAAGCUGGGGGAUGGAUGGAUACGUGUACAUGCUCCGGAACAGUGGGAACUCCGAGGGACUCUGUGGCAUCAAUACACUAGCCUCAUACCCAACCAAAACCAAGCCCAAUCCACCUCCCCCGCCACCACCAGGGCCCACAAAGUGCGACCUGUUCAACUACUGUCCUCGGGGCCAAACGUGUUGUUGUGCUUCACGUUUCAUAGGAAUCUGCCUCUCCUGGAAAUGUUGCGGGCUUGAUUCAGCAGUGUGUUGCAAGGAUCAUACCCAUUGUUGCCCGCGCGAUUAUCCUGUUUGUGACACAAAAAGGAAACAAUGCCUCAAGUAUUCUUGGAAUGUUACGGAAGGGGAGGUGCUACCGAGCAUGAGAGCUACUUUCGGGAAGCCAAGCAGUUGGCGCUCCUUCGUCGAGGCUUGGAUUUUCUAGGGUAUUCUUUAUGAAAGUACAUAGAGGAAACUAUUUAUCGGCACACAGUUGUGGAGAUUACUUCGGCAGGACGAAGUUCUGAUUUUCUAUCAAGAUUCUUGUAGACCGAGCUUUUAAUUCCCGGCGUCGAGUUUUUCUUUCUCAUUCCUGCCAUUGACGAGACUGAAACGAACAAGAGAGUAAGUGACUCUAUUUCGCUUCAACAUAUAUAAGUGAGACGUUCUUUCCUUUCCUUUCAACUUAAACAGUUCCUAGAGAACCCGGGCACGGUAUAUCAAUGACAGCGGGAUACUGCAUUCGAGAUGCUAAUUGCACAACAUGGUGCAACUGCGACAUUUCCUCGGACUAUGCAACCGAAUGCGCAGUUGUUUCUAUGGUCAACAUGAUCUUUACAUUCUCCUUCCUUGUAAAAACAAGUGGGCAAUAUUCAGCCAAAAAAAAUAAAAAUAAAAUACAAGAGGGCAAUGAAUUUCUCAAUCACAAAACCGUUGAGAAGGACGUUUGGUUUUAUCAUUAUUUAUGUACUUAUUUAUUUUUAAAUUA
This is a non-coding RNA of Punica granatum (pomegranate), 2042 nucleotides long. The record is from RefSeq and is a predicted model, not a curated record. Lineage: Eukaryota; Viridiplantae; Streptophyta; Magnoliopsida; Myrtales; Lythraceae.